AUUUUAUUUUUUAAAUUUUAUUUCAUAUGAAACCUUCUUGUCACGUGUUAUUCAUAUAUGCAGUAUAAUAAUAAGCUUAUAUCAUGUAAAUACAUCCAUAAAGUAUUUUAUAUAAGACAAUAACAAUCAAAACUAAGGAGUAACCAGAGACUCAUAAAACCAAAAGACAUUUACAUCAACAGUUACAAAUAAUAAGUAGGAAACAACACGAACUCCACUAAAUUCCAGGAGUGAAAUCAAAUGCUCCUGAAGGGUAAGCAUUACCUGCACCGUAUACGACACCCGUCAUGUUAUUUCUUUGUUCAGCUCGGUAAUGAUAGAAGGUUGUUACGACUGAGGAAGAAUAUCACAGAGAUAUAUAUGAUUGCUGACACACUUUUGUCAUAAUGGCCUAUCAGCUCAUGAUGGCGACCAUAAAAUUGCUUGAGUGAUGACCUUAAUUUGAUUGAUUUAUAGCCC
This 459-nucleotide long non-coding RNA is filed under the name Mytilus galloprovincialis (Mediterranean mussel). The record is from RNAcentral. Lineage: Eukaryota; Metazoa; Mollusca; Bivalvia; Mytilida; Mytilidae.